AGCGAACGCUGGCGGCAGGCCUAACACAUGCAAGUCGAACGAACCUUUCGGGGUUAGUGGCGGACGGGUGAGUAACACGUGGGAACGUGCCUUUAGGUUCGGAGUAACUCAGGGAAACUUGUGCUAAUACCGAAUGUGCCCUUCGGGGGAAAGAUUUAUCGCCUUUAGAGCGGCCCGCGUCUGAUUAGCUAGUUGGUUGAGGUAAUGGCUCACCAAGGCGACGAUCAGUAGCUGGUCUGAGAGGAUGAUCAGCCACAUUGGGACUGAGACACGGCCCAAACUCCUACGGGAGGCAGCAGUGGGGAAUCUUGCGCAAUGGGCGAAAGCCUGACGCAGCCAUGCCGCGUGAAUGAUGAAGGUCUUAGGAUUGUAAAAUUCUUUCACCGGGGACGAUAAUGACGGUACCCGGAGAAGAAGCCCCGGCUAACUUCGU
This 433-nucleotide ribosomal RNA is filed under the name uncultured bacterium. RNAcentral's name for it is "partial 16S ribosomal RNA". It matches the Rfam family "Bacterial small subunit ribosomal RNA", at positions 29 to 506 of the family's 1533-position model. The record is from RNAcentral.